Molecule: non-coding RNA, 93 nt
Filed under: Roseobacter sp.
Lineage: Bacteria; Pseudomonadati; Pseudomonadota; Alphaproteobacteria; Rhodobacterales; Roseobacteraceae
Description: Glycine sequence
Rfam family: Glycine riboswitch aptamer
About the family: This family represents the bacterial glycine riboswitch. Glycine riboswitches usually consist of two metabolite-binding aptamers domains with similar structures in tandem.
Source: RNAcentral
GUGCAAUACGCCGAAGAGAGACCUUAGAUGGUCCGCCGAAGGAGCAAGCCCAAUCCGGCGAAUCUCUCAGGUACAGCAGACGGCGGGGGCAUU